AUCAUAUUCAAGAAGACUUGAGGCUGUAAUUGCUGCCAAAGUGCAUCAACAGAGUGUUGAGCAAAGGGUGUGAAUACUUAUGUACAUGUGAUUUCAUAGUUUUUAUUUUUAUUAAAUUUGC
This is a long non-coding RNA of Thalassophryne amazonica, 121 nucleotides long. RefSeq lists it as uncharacterized. Lineage: Eukaryota; Metazoa; Chordata; Actinopteri; Batrachoidiformes; Batrachoididae. The transcript has 2 exons. The record is from RefSeq and is a predicted model, not a curated record.